CCUACGGGUGGCAGCAGUGAGGAAUAUUGGUCAAUGGACGAAAGUCUGAACCAGCCAAGUAGCGUGCAGGAUGACUGCCCUAUGGGUUGUAAACUUCUUUUAUAUGGGAAUAAAAUGUUCCACGUGUGGGAGUUUGUAGGUACCAUACGAAUAAGGAUCGGCUAAUUCCGUGCCAGCAGCCGCGGUAAUACGGAGGAUCCGAGCGUUAUCCGGAUUUAUUGGGGUUAAAGGGAGCGUAGGUGGAUUGUUAAGGCAGUUGUGAAAGUUUGCGGCUCAACCGUAAAAUUGCAGUUGAAACUGGAAGUCUUGAGUACAGUAGAGGUGGGCGGAAUUCGUGGUGUAGCGGUGAAAUGCAUAGAUAUCACGCAGAACUCCGAUUGCGAAGGCAGCAUACCGGCGCUCAACUGACGCUCAUGCUCGAAAGCGUGGGUAUCGAACAGGAUUAGAUACCCGUGUAGUC
Molecule: ribosomal RNA, 460 nt
Filed under: uncultured bacterium
Lineage: Bacteria
Description: partial 16S ribosomal RNA
Rfam family: Bacterial small subunit ribosomal RNA
Source: RNAcentral